This 459-nucleotide ribosomal RNA is filed under the name uncultured bacterium. Its description in RNAcentral is "partial 16S ribosomal RNA". It matches the Rfam family "Bacterial small subunit ribosomal RNA", at positions 338 to 795 of the family's 1533-position model. The record is from RNAcentral.
CCUACGGGAGGCAGCAGUGAGGAAUAUUGGUCAAUGGGCGAGAGCCUGAACCAGCCAAGUCGCGUGAGGGAAGACGGUCCUAUGGAUUGUAAACCUCUUUUGCCGGGGCGCAAAAAGCGGUACGUGUACCGCAUCGGGAGUACCCGGAGAAAAAGCAUCGGCUAACUCCGUGCCAGCAGCCGCGGUAAUACGGAGGAUGCGAGCGUUAUCCGGAUUUAUUGGGGUUAAAGGGUGCGCAGGCGGCGAGUUAAGUCAGCGGUAAAAUUUCGGGGCUCAACCCCGACGAGCCGUUGAAACUGGCUGGCUAGAGUGGGCGUGAGGUAUGCGGAAUGCGUGGUGUAGCGGUGAAAUGCAUAGAUAUCACGCAGAACUCCGAUUGCGAAGGCAGCAUACCGGCGCCCAACUGACGCUCAGGCACGAAAGCGUGGGUAUCGAACAGGAUUAGAUACCCGGGUAGUC